Molecule: ribosomal RNA, 271 nt
Filed under: uncultured bacterium
Lineage: Bacteria
Description: partial 16S ribosomal RNA
Rfam family: Bacterial small subunit ribosomal RNA
Source: RNAcentral
UACAGAGGGGGCAAGCGUUGUUCGGAAUUACUGGGCGUAAAGGGCGCGUAGGCGGCCGGUUAAGUCGAACGUGAAAUCCCCGGGCUCAACCCGGGAACUGCGUCCGAUACUGGCAGGCUCGAAUCCGGGAGAGGGAUGUGGAAUUCCAGGUGUAGCGGUGAAAUGCGUAGAUAUCGGGAGGAACACCAGUAGCGAAGGCGGCUCGCUGGGCCAUUCCUGACGCUGAGACGCGAAAGCUAGGGGAGCGAACAGGAUUAGAAACCCCAGUAGU